UGGGGAGCCUGAGAGGCGGAGGAAGAUACUCCAGCUGAAGCAGUGUCAACACCUCCUCUAAAAGCGAGCCCACCGUAGUGAACUGGUGGCCCUGACGGAGUGCAGAAGCAGGCUGCAUGCAUCUCCUUGUGAUGGAGCUGGCAGAGAAAAUCGGACACUGGGACAAACAACCAUAAAUCAGGACUGUCCUGAUUAAAUCAGGCAUGGCUGGCAAGAUUCAGAGUCGGCUGCAGUUGAGAAGUCUGAAGUGGCCCUGUUGUUCCAGGCAGCCUAUCAGCUGUGUGCCUGAGGAGAGCCAGGCAAAGGCUUGCUUGUCCAUGGUUUUGUGAACAGAAGUGGAACACUAUGAUACAAAUACAAAAAUCCUGACUGUGAGCAUGUAA
This is a long non-coding RNA of Tyto alba (common barn owl), 383 nucleotides long. RefSeq lists it as uncharacterized. The record is from RefSeq and is a predicted model, not a curated record. Lineage: Eukaryota; Metazoa; Chordata; Aves; Strigiformes; Tytonidae. The transcript is spliced from 4 exons.